UACGUAGGGGGCAAGCGUUAUCCGGAUUUACUGGGUGUAAAGGGAGCGUAGACGGCGCGGCAAGUCUGAAGUGAAAGGCAGGGGCUUAACCCCUGAACUGCUUUGGAAACUGCCAUGCUAGAGUGCUGGAGAGGUAAGUAGAAUUCCUAGUGUAGCGGUGAAAUGCGUAGAUAUUAGGAGGAACACCAGUGGCGAAGGCGGCUUACUGGACAGUAACUGACGUUGAGGCUCGAAAGCGUGGGGAGCAAACAGG
This 253-nucleotide ribosomal RNA is filed under the name uncultured bacterium. Its description in RNAcentral is "partial 16S ribosomal RNA". It matches the Rfam family "Bacterial small subunit ribosomal RNA", at positions 524 to 776 of the family's 1533-position model. The record is from RNAcentral.